RNAcentral lists this ribosomal RNA (440 nucleotides) under uncultured bacterium. RNAcentral's name for it is "partial 16S ribosomal RNA". It matches the Rfam family "Bacterial small subunit ribosomal RNA", at positions 338 to 795 of the family's 1533-position model. The record is from RNAcentral.
CCUACGGGUGGCAGCAGUGGGGCAUAUUGCACAAUGGGGGAAACCCUGAUGCAGCGACGCCGCGUGAGUGAAGAAGUAAUUCGUUAUGUCAAGCUCUAUCAGCAGGGAAGAAAAUGACGGUACCUGAGUAAGAAGCCCCGGCUAACUACGUGCCAGCAGCCGCGGUAAUACGUAGGGGGCAAGCGUUAUCCGGAUUUACUGGGGGGAAAGGGAGCGUAGACGGCAGUGCAAGUCUGGAGUGAAAGUCGGGGGCUCAACCCCCGGACUGCUCUGGAAACUGUACGGCUGGAGUGCAGGAGAGGUAAGUGGAAUUCCUAGUGUAGCGGUGAAAUGCGUAGAGAUUAGGAGGAAAACCAGUGGCGAAGGCGGCUUACUGGACUGUAACUGACGUUGAGGCUCGAAAGCGUGGGGAGCAAACAGGAUUAGAUACCCUGGUAGUC